Long non-coding RNA from Trifolium pratense (red clover), 1777 nucleotides. RefSeq lists it as uncharacterized. The record is from RefSeq and is a predicted model, not a curated record. The transcript is spliced from 2 exons. Lineage: Eukaryota; Viridiplantae; Streptophyta; Magnoliopsida; Fabales; Fabaceae.
UUAGGCUUAAAAUUCUACCGAAUUUCGAACAGUAGUUUACUCAACAGUAUAAAUUUAUAUCGUAGAAAAAGAAAAUAAAAAUAUCUUUUAGACCAGAAAAAUAUCUAUGUUAUUAAAAUUAAUGAAAAAUAAAAUGAAAGAUUAGAGAUAAGCAUGCAUUUAAUUUUAAGAUAAGAACUACACCUAUGCAUUACAAGGUGGCUAAUUUUUCUUCACAAAUUGAAAGUGAAAACGUGGACUGAGAAUUUACCAUGUAGCAGUAGAAUUAGAAAUCUAUAAAUAGGGUCUUAACAUUCACUUUUUACACACAAUUAUCACUCUCACAACUCACAAAAAGCUAGGAAUUUCAAUUAAGGUAUCCUAGAUGAAGGUGAUUGCUCGAGUUAUUUUGGAAAGCUUCAAGGUAAGGGGAAUCGCUAAUAAUAAGUUUCGAUGGGCACAAGAAAUGUGUUACUUGUAUAUAUAUUAUUAGUUAUAACUAGGGGUGUUGUGUACUUUAUAUAGUAAUUUAUAUUCAUUAAGGUAUAUGCAAAAUGUUAAAUGAUGAGUGAUUGAUUUUAGUUUGAUUAUAUGUGUGAAUAAAUCUUCUGCAAUAUAUGAGUUGAAAAUGUUCAUGUGUUUGAGUGUUAUGGUGAAAAAUUGAGGUUAACUCUCAUAAGUUGUAUGGUGAGUUUUGAGGAUUAAUAUGUCAAGUUGAUAUUGACAAAGAAAAUUUAAGUUGAAAAGUUGAACAUAUAAUCACCUUUGAUAGGUGAAGAGCAAAACAGGGUGUUUCUUACAGUACUAUAAUGUAUGUAAGACUGAGGAUAGGUUCGGCUGGGUCGCCUCAAGACCUAAUGGGGAUCACCGGCGUUUUGAACUCCUACCAAUAGUCAGAGAUAGCCACUCUGACUGGAGGAAAUCAUACAACCCGACGUGGUGAAACCUGACUGUGCAGGACUAUCUAUAAUAAGGUGUAGCGCUCGGGCCAGAAUGGUUGAGACAUAUUUGAUAUAUGUUGAUUUGCAAACGACCAUGUUAUGGCAGUUGAAACGGCCUUACGCUCAUACUAGAGGUCUCCAUGGAGUAGGUUGAAUAAAGAUAAUACUGACCAAAUUAGAAGACUAACUUCGAGUGAAGAAUUAUGAUUAGAUUUUGUAUAUAUUUUAAAUGAUUCAAUUUCGAUGUUUGAUAUAUUUGAUAAUUGUUAUAUUUGGCGAUUGAUAUAUUUGAUUUUCAUUGUCUGACUAAUUGUUGAUUAGUGAUGAUGAUAUAAUGUUUGUGUAAUUCACUUUGUGAUUAUUUGACUAUAUGUGACUAUUUGACUACUUGAUUCUAUUUAAUUAAAUAUAUGAUUAGAUACUCAGGUAUGUAUAUAUACUAUUAAAUAAAAAUGUAUAUACUUGUAUAAUAUUAUGUGUAGCCUUGUGACAUCAUCACGAUGGUAACUUGUGUACGAGUGAUUCACCCCUUACAACAGUUAGUGCAGGAUUCUAAGGCCUCAAGUUGAAGUUCAUUGAGAAAAGGAAAACGUGAUUGUGAGAGACAUUAAUUAUAAUACAAGGACCGUUAGUGUUGAUUAGUGAUCUAGUUUAUUUUUGGAGUCCGAAGAGAAAGAUCUCUUUGAUAUGUAUUGAUGACGUUAUUGGAGUACUCCCUAGGUGACAUGUAUCUUAGUGUUUGACCAGCUUGUGAUCAUUUGUGGGUUAGAGUCUUUUGUAGGAAUUUAUCUUUUAUUAUUUCAUAUUGAAAAAUUGUAAGAUAAUUAUGUGAAAUGAAAAUGUUUUAUAUUUGAAAA